GAAAAAGAAAGAAAAGGGAGAAAAGAGAAGGACGAAAAGACUGAAAGAAAGAAAGGGGAAAAAAGAAAAAGGAAGAAAAAGAGGCAGGGAGGCUGCUCCCCCCGCAGCCCGAUGGUGGGAUGCGUGUGGUUGUGCGGGGGGUGCAGUGCAGGGAGGGAGGGGCAGGUUCUGUCUGCAGGAAGCCCCCUGCCCACAUGGAAGGAGCUGUGAAGAGGAAUCGUGGCAUCAGAAAGCGUUGCCUUGUUCCCACUUCAUUUCCUAGUACCAGAUAAUUGCUUUUUCAACUCAAUUGAGACUCGGUUUGUGUUAUUGCUGUUACCGCUCCUCUGCGAGCUUCUGUGUCUGUCUCACACACCCGUGUCUCUUGUUAGUCUCGUGCUCGCUCUCUGGACGGGGUUGAUAACAAAUGAUGUUCUGUCUAAGUUCAGUAACAGCAUCCAGAAAGCGCACGGCGAGGAGGUGGCGGUGGCGACAGGAGGGAAUUGCCAUGUUCCUGGGCUCUCCCUGUGCUCCAUCAGCUGUGGAGCCCUAUAGGCCAUGCAGCCGGGCCCUUCUCCUUCACCAGAAUGAUGUUACUGCUCUCAGGCUUGAAGCAGAGCGCCGGUUGCUGUUACUUCUGGGUUGCAGCACUGGAGAAAAGGUGCAGUUUUCUUCAGGUUCAUCUCUGAUGAGGGAGGAAGAAACUUGUUCUACUGCCUUUAACUUAUUUUGGUGGGGUCUUGCGAGAUUCCUAGUGGCAGUGCUCACUGCAUCGGGAUAGUUAGAGUGAGACAUCCCUUCUGCUUGACAUUGUGUCACAUCAGAGCGUUUUUGGGCAGUGUGGCUGUGAGGCACACAGAUUAACCAAGAAAGCCGCUCACAGCUGAAUUAAAUGCUGGCUUCUCUCACAGGACUUUGGUGCAAUGCUUUUUUUUUUUUCUCCCGCUCCUGGAUUAAUGUAAUUAAAUGACAACCUCAGCUCUUGUGAGAAAUAAAAAAUACCGUUUCUAUACAUCACGAUGCUGGAGGGACACUUUAAAAAGUGAUUUGACGUUCCCCUUAAAUGUGCAGCGACCAACAGAGAAAUAAAAUGAAACCCACAUUUGUUAUUAGGAAAAAUCUUGAAACUUUUAGCCGUGCUUGUCAUUUUUAAAACUGACUUAUGAUUUAGAUGAGACGUUAAGAACAGCUUUUUAAUGGAAAGAUGGGAAGCGCGAGAAUAGAUUGCCUGGAGUGGCAGUGGGAGGAUUUGUAAAGUGGUCGGACAAAUGUCUGCCAGAACGUGGCAGCUGCAGCCCACCCAGCCCCAUGCAGAGGACACACCAGGACCCCUCUGUGCCCCUAUGGACAGGGGCUGUCACACCUGGGAUUGCUCCCUGUCCAGUGCUGCCUUUCCGCUUGACUUCUCUGUGCUUACUUUUUGGGCAUAAGCAGCUCCUCUGGGCAGCCAGGAGCAAGGCAGGGGGUCACCUUCUCUGCACACGUUAUACAUGAAUAAACACCUUCCUAGGAUUACUUAACCCAAGUCCGCUGUGUGCCUGUUUCCCUGCUGACACACCAUUAGCAUCUGAAGCAUCUAUAUUUCCCGAAUUGCACAGAGAUAACUUAUCGCUCCAGCUGCUUAUCUCAGACCUGCCCCGUGGAUCCAGGGGAAAGAUUUCCCCUUUAGCACUAACAACGGGUGCCUGAUGCUUACUUUGAAAUGUCCCUCCUCCUUUAGAAAAGGAGUGGUGGGAUUCUUGCCCGGCACAUUUUGCAUCUCUCUCUCCAUCUCUGUGCCCAUCCAGCCGGGUUUAUCACUGUCAGAGCACUGGCCCAGGCCUUGCUGGCAGUGCAAGCUGUUCCAUGAAAGAUUUGCCCUUGAAAGUUUGGGAUGUGUCAGGAGUGUGUCCAUAUUUAAUGCAGGCGUGCGGCUGAGGCAGUGGGCUGGGUGGGGUCAGCUGUGUGCUCAGGAAACUCUUCUGGAAACUGCUGGAUGUGGAGUAGAGGAAGGACUGUCUGUCUCAUCGCCUUUUUGUGCCUCUUUUUUCUCUCAGCGGCUCCUCUGGCUUACAGGCCAGCACUUGUUAUGUUCUGCAGAGGUUCACAUUCUGCAGAAAAGUCAGCAGGCAAAAGAACCCAUAACAGUUAGCAUGACAGCAGGAGGUAUGAAUGGGAUGGUUGCACACAGCAGGUGUCUGUCCACAGUCCCCUGCCACCAAGGGCAGUUUGGUGCUGGCAACAUCCAAGGGCAGCCAGACAAAGCCUCAUUUCAUGAGCAGGGUAUAGAAAAAACUCUCCCCACUUGCUCUCUCCUGCCUUAGGUCAUUUUGCUUCAAAUGAGGGCAUGGGGAGUGAGGUUAAAGUGCAAAGGCUGGCCAGGAUGUCUGACCUGUCUGGAAUAGUGUUCCUUGCAGCUCUAAGCCAGCAGUAUGUAGUUACCUGCAGCUCCCCACUGCUGAGCUGCAGUAACACAAGAUGAAAGGCAGCUUCAGGUUGUGCCAGGGGAGGUUCGAUUUGGAUAACUGGAAUAAUUUCUUCUCAUGGAGAGUGGUGAGGCACUGGCAUGGGCUGCACAGGGAGGUAGUAGUCACCAUCCCUGGAGGUGUUCAAAAAGUGUGUGGAUGUGGCACUGAGAGGUAUGGCUAGUGGGCAUGGUGGGGGUGGGCUGGUGCACUAGGAGAUCUUAGAGGUGUUUUCCAACAGGAAUGAUUCUGCCUUUCUGUGAACACUAGGUGUCCCACUGCAGGUGCCACCAAGUGCCAUCUUUCCACAGGGCCCCCAGACCGCUUGUGUCUGUGCACAUGCACUUGGACCAUGAUGCUCACCCAGUCUUAAAGGGUGAUCAGACACAAGCAGUGCUUCUGGGAGCUGCUGGCUUAGCCAUCAUCCCUGUGGUUGUGCGAGCCCUCAGGGUUGGCUGGCUUGUCUGGGGCUUACUUGGGGUACCUUCCUGCUUAGGAGCGCCGCAGCUUUCUUACCACAGUUUCAGCUAAGAAAAUAGACAAGUUUCAACAGAGGAGGAAGAGCAAGGUAAAAAGCAGAACAUUACUCUUGCCAUCCUGAGCACCAAUAUUUCUAAAUCACAUGCUUCGUCAUGUCAUGAAACCUUAUCAGAAGCUGCACAUAACUAACCACGGAAUCUAGAUUCACUGGCUUGAAUUUUAUUGUAAGAGAUACCAGGAGCAUGAAAGACACCCUGUUGCUAUCACCUACAGAUAAAUUCCUUGAUGUUUUUCAUCAUGAGAUUCUGCUUCCUCUUGCUUAUGUAGCUUCGCCAUCUGUCUCGAUUUGACUGUUUCAGUGCUCGAUGUUUUCAGCCAGAGCAAGAUCCAGGAGACAAGUGAAAAUAUAAGCAACCCAUCUUUCAUUUCAGAGCAGAAGUUCUUAAAGUUUGCAGAGUUGCAAAGUUUGCAAGGGAAGACUUGAUGAUACAGUGGGAAAGCUAAACCACCUCAAAAGGCAAAUGCAGGCACCCGCUUUUACUGUUAUUGGAAAAAUCCUGGUUUUACAGCUAAUCUGUGAGCCUUUUUGUGCAUGGCUUGAUUUGUAGUUUCUUAAUGAUUGGUACUGGCAGCGUUGUUUAUAGCCCUGCCAGACUUUUAACAAUGAAACAUUUCCCCCCCCCCUCCCCCCUCUCCCCCUCCAUCUAGUCUCUGUCUCAAAGCAAACUAUCCUGGAAGUACUCAAUUUGGUGCCUCAGUCAUUUCAGCGAAUGAAAUUAAGGGAAAAUGAUAUAUGUGAACAUCCUCAAAAUUGCAGUUAUUUCUUUGGGAAGAUCUAGCACAGCACGCUCUCAAACUGAAACUCGGAAUUUUGAAGGGCAGGGAAAUGCCUUAAGCCAGAUUCUAAUGUUUCUGAAAAUGUUUGGGAACAGACAGAUGCUGCUUUAGUCUUUGCUACACACAGUCCCUGCAGACCCCGUACGAAAUUACUGUGCUUCAGCCUCUCCCUUCAUCUGAUCACAGCCAGAUCAUGGAUGGAGAAGAGACCCCAGUCCAGUGGAUUAGGUAAGGAUUUCCCUGCAAUCUCUCUUUGUGCUUACUUUGUAUUUCUGUGUUUCUGGGGAAGGGAACUGCCAGUAGGGAUCUCUCUCUUGUGGUUUAUGUACCAUUUUUAUGGGAUGGUGCUGGGAUACAGAGAAGGGGAGAGUACCAGAAAAAUGCGGAAAGAUGGAGAAAGGUUUCAGAUGGGGGAAAAGAGGAGAAAGGAAGAAGUAGGCUAGGGACUGGAUGAGCCUAUGAGGACAAGAAGAGCAUUGGAGGCUGAAGUAUGAGGCUGGAAGGGGACAGAGGGAGGCCAAGUACUCAUGGCUCGCUGCAGGACCCAGGACAGGACCCAUGAGUGUCCCUUUCACCAGUGAUGUUCUGAUCUGUAACAGCACACCCACCAGCCUUGCCUAUGCUCCCGUACACCUCUAGAAGCACUACAUAAAGUAUACCAGCCUACUACUGCCACUAGGUGCCAUUAGUUCAAGCAAAUAGUGCCACAGAGCUAAUUGUGAGUGAAGGACAUGUUUCUUCAUAAACUUCUCCUCCAGAAUUUCAUCUGUCUGUGAGGUAAGGAGGUUCAAUAAUUGAGCCUUCAAAAGUUACACCAUGCCAUAAUUAAAUUUCUCGUCCAGAUCAAAUUUGCUGAUAUCACAUAGCUAGCCCCAGCUGACCACUGCUGGGCAUCCAAAUUGGAGCGAUCACUCAUGGAAAGUUUGAUUAAGUGACCAGAUGUUUUUUUAAAAAGGUUUUAUUUGCACAUGGCAACAAGAAAUAACAACCAUGUGUUUUCAUCCCAAAGUCUCCCUCAUAACGUGUGUAAGAUUUGUGAUUCAUUGUUGAAUGUCAUCACGCCUCCCCAGCUUAGGAAAUCUGAUCUGUCACUUGCCAGUGCAGAAUCUCAUUGCAGCCAUCAAUUUAUUUAUUUAUUUAUGUAUUUCUUUAUUUUUGGCUGGGAGUGAAACGAACCAUCACCUUUGUGCUUCUUCAUAGGUGAGAAUGCAGAACAGCUCUAUGCAAUGCAGUGUUGAGUUCUCCUCGCUGGAUCCUUCCAGACUUCCAGACGGCUCCAGAUGAGCCGUGGGUACCAGUCCAUGUUAUGUUGCUCUCUGUCAAGCCUCUGAGACACAAGGAUGCCAGAAACCUGGAGAAACUUCCAAUAGCCCAUCAAGCCCAUGGGCGCAAAGCAGAUCUGAGUGUUCUAACUCCCCUUUCUGUCAAGCUCUAAGAUGGCAAUCUGAGGUGGUCAGAGUGAGCAUAGCUCUUGGGAACAAAGUCUUUUUUUCCCCCUUGCCGUAUGUGCUUAAUAAUUUCCAGUGAGGACACAGCAAAGGCAAAAGUCUUGGUUGUACACUGAAUAUUGAUCAGACUGUUCUGCACCUACUAAUUCUUAAGCAGAGAUGAGCCGUUUCUGUACGGGGGAAAAUUAGGUAGGUUGGUUCAUUCACAUUUAAAACAUAAUCUUACAGAAGUGCAUUCUCCCCACUACCUACAGCUCCCCUACCUCCAUCCUUACACGACACAACCUGAGCUCCUGCAGUACCUGCAGAACACGCUGCAAUCUGCUCAACUGUAAUAGAGAGCAUUUCUGAAAUUAAUUAUCUAGAAACAAAUUUCAGAUGACUGUUCCACAUAAGACAGAGGAAAAGAAUUAUUGUGGAGGAAUGACAAAUUUUGUAAGCAUUCCCAUUGUGCUCUGUGAUGCAGCCUCCACAUCCUCCCCCACUCCCCUGUGCAAAUGAAGAUGUAAUAGAAACGAAAGCGAUGCUCCUCACAAGAUGUAGGUACGUGCCUCAUUUCCAGCAGGUGCACAGCGCCGGCCGUCUGAUAUGCCCUGCAUUCAGCAUGCCUGCAAAUUUUUGCUGUAUCAAGACCUACGGGCGUGCUGUGCUGAACCUUCUGAGCUGUGAAUGUGAGUGUAGGACCCAGACCCUCAGGGCUGCCUGGCCCUGCAGAGCUGCCACCCAGCUCUGAUUUCUCUCGCAUGCUAGAAGAGCUCUCGUUCCCCUCCAGUGAUUCUUCAGUAUGCUGGCUGCGAUUGGGCGUUGUAAAAAGCUAAAUAGUAAGUCAGUGUUCAACAUAACAUUUUAACUGUUCCCGAUGUUCAUUUAUUUUUUCCUUUGAGUAAAAAGAGACCCUUGUAAAAGUAAAUACAGUUUGCUUUAAAGUGUCUAUGCAGGCAAAUCGAGUUUACUGUCUUUCGCCCUGAUGUCGUAUACAUCAGUGAGGGUGGGGAUGGUUUGAACGAGUCUUAAGAAAAAAAAGAAGAAGAAAUGACAAGAAAAGACAAAUUGAAAGCUGUUUGCUGACAGGUGUAGAUGGGCUGGGAUAACAAGGAUUAUAUUCCAAAAUCUAAUAUGAAGAUGGUUUAUAUCUAUCCCUUGCCAAAAUUAAAAGAAGGAAAUCUGAUCGGCAGGGUAGGCAGCUGACUUUGACCCAAAGAAAGACUUAUGGAAUGAAAUGCCAUUUGCAUCCUUUCCCUUUUCUGCCAUCUCAAAGUGGUAAUGAAUAGUGCAAUAGAAAAGAAGUGGCAGCGGAAUGGCUCAUUUAAAAACUUUUUUACAUUAAUCUCAUUUCAAAAGGAAUAAAGUAAGAAACUGAAGGUAAACAGUUGUGUUUAAUAUAUAAAAAGCAUAUGAAAUGAGCCUUAAGAUUUAUGUUUUUAUGUAUAUGUGUUUAUUCCUCUUUGAUGACUGUAAAAUACAUAAGAAUGAAAAAGAGACCUUCAUUUUUUUCCCCAAGCAUUUUAUAUGCAUCUCUUUUUCUAAGGCUUCCUGGUGCCAGAAAUCACUUGCAAUAUACAUGAUACAGGGCUUUGCUGCGAUACACAAUUUUACUAAAUAACAGAGUAAAUAGAAGACUGUAUGUGCAGUAAAUGGGACCGAAGCAUUAUGUAGUGUAGGAAAAAUCAAACAGCCUGUCUACCUCUGGCUGUGGCAUUUGCCUUCUGUAAUAAAAUGCUCAAUUAUUUUGCUGUUGGCCUCACAGGCCACCCAGAAGCGGGGGACAUUCAGGCUGACUGACCACAACCACCUCUGUCCCUGGGGCCAUUUCUAAAGCAGUAUCACCAGCUGGAGACAGGCAUGCGCAGCCAGGCUGCAUCUCGCAGGCUGAGCCAGCGCUGGGAAGAAGCCGAGCUCUGGACAUACACAUAGGAAGUCCUACCCUCAGUGAUGGCCCCGGGAUUAUUGCUGCUGACCUCAAGGCUUCUCCUCCUGACCAGAGAAGUCGAUACUUAAAACUGAAACCUUUGGAUAAAUUUUUGAAUAAAGCUUACCACGUCCACAGCUACGUGCUAAUACAUCCAUCUGCUUGCUGUGCUUCUGUUCAUAUGCAAAAUGAUGGAAAAAGCGCAUUCUUAAGGACACUUGCAGGCUGUACAAUGCCGUGCUGAAGCUUUUAUUACAUCGAUUCAACUACUUUCCAUAGGUUAUGCAAAGUAAUCUUUCCAUAUCUCACUGAAUUUGCAUCCUGGGAGUGAUUGAUACUCUGUGCGAUGGGGCUGACUUCACUUUCCCACCACACAGGUGUGUGAUGAAUCCCAGUUUGAGGUGUGCUAUUAUUUACUGCCAAGGUUAUUUCAUAAAUUCAGUUUCACACUUCUAAUUCAGGCUUGCAUGCUUUCGGAGAGGAGGGCUCUGUUAUUAAGUCAUCAUUUCUGGAGAAAACUAAGCCAAACUAAAAGGCACCAGUAAUAGAUUGGUUUUAUUCCACUCCAUAAAUGUGUGAAGUAUUGUUUUAUUGUACAUUAAAAGUGUGAUUAUGUGUUAUGGUGUCUUUGGAUCAUGCCAAUGGAUGAGCGCCACUUUUCAUUGCUAGCUUUAAUCUGGGUGUAGAUCACUUUUAGUUUUCUAGAAGAUUUGUUGGCAGGAAUGCGAAAACAUUUAAACCCCCAAAUUAGAAAGGUGGAAAAAAACCUCUAAAACUGCCCGACAGUUUAGUGUUAAUUUUCAGAAUGUCUGAAUAUUGGCAUAUAGAUAUCACUUGCCAGCACUUCUAUUCAGCAACUCUUUUCCUUUCUAGCAGCCAGGAAAUGAUGAGGCUUCCUAGAGAAGACAUGCUGUUACUGCUGGCUAUUCAGUAGCAGCCACUUGAUCCCUCGUUUUUGCUUUACAACAGGAAAAGUUUUUGCUGUUGGUUGGGGAGUGGUAGAAGCUGGUCAAGAAUAUGUGCCUGCCUAGCCACUGCAAAGCAGGAAAGCAAGGCAGAAAUGCUAGAAGCAGGAGAGAUAUCUGGUUUUCUUCUAGCCUAGAAGGUUAGAAGGGAUGAUAACACUAUUGUUGGGUUAAACAGCUCUUUUUUGCACGUUAUUCCUCAGCUCAGCAUGGAAUAGCCUGCCUACUUAUUUGCUCUUGAUUGAUCUAGAGUCUUUCAGACAGAUGAA
Long non-coding RNA from Coturnix japonica (Japanese quail), 8331 nucleotides. RefSeq lists it as uncharacterized. The record is from RefSeq and is a predicted model, not a curated record. NCBI's taxonomy places the organism in Eukaryota, Metazoa, Chordata, Aves, Galliformes, Phasianidae.